GACGAACGCUAGCUACAGGCUUAACACAUGCAAGUCGAGGGGUAACGAGAGGGAAGCUUGCUUUCCUUGUCGACGACCGGCGGAUGGGUGAGUAACGCGUAUCCAACCUGCCCUUCAGUAAGGGAUAGCCUUUCGAAAGAAAGAAUAAUACCUUAUGUGAUCGUUUGAUGACAUCAGACGACGAUCAAAGAUUUAUCGCUGAAGGAUGGGGAUGCGUCCCAUUAGGCAGUAGGCGGGGUAACGGCCCACCUAACCUACGAUGGGUAGGGGUUCUGAGAGGAAGGUCCCCCACAUUGGAACUGAGACACGGUCCAAACUCCUACGGGAGGCAGCAGUGAGGAAUAUUGGACAAUGGGUGAGAGCCUGAUCCAGCCAUGCCGCGUGCAGGAAGAAGGCGUUAUGCGUUGUAAACUGCUUUUGCCAGGGGAUAAAAUGAGCGUGCGCGCUUAAUUGAAGGUACCUGGUGAAUAAGCCACGGCUAACUACGUGCCAGCAGCCGCCGUAA
RNAcentral lists this ribosomal RNA (505 nucleotides) under uncultured bacterium. RNAcentral describes it as "partial 16S ribosomal RNA". It matches the Rfam family "Bacterial small subunit ribosomal RNA", at positions 28 to 523 of the family's 1533-position model. The record is from RNAcentral.